CCUACGGGUGGCAGCAGUGAGGAAUAUUGGUCAAUGGACGCGAGACUGAACCAGCCAUGCCGCGUGCGGGAAGAAGGCACAGUGAAUUGUAAACUGCUUUUGUCAGAGGGUAAACGCAGAUACGCGUAUCUGUCUGAGUGUAUCGUACGAAUAAGCAUCGGCUAACUCCGUGCCAGCAGCCGCGGUAAUACGGAGGAUGCAAGCGGUAUCCGGAUUGAUUGGGGUGAAAGGGUGCGGAGGCGGGCGGAUAAGUGAGAGGUGAAAUCCGGGCGCUCAAGCUCGGAAUUACCUCUGAUAAUGUUCGGCUCGAGCUUAGUUGCGGUAUGCGGAAUGUGCGGUGUAGCGGUUAAAUGCUUAGAGAUCAUGCAGAACUCCGAUUGCGAAGGCAGCUUACCACGCUAAUUCUGACGUUGAGGCACGAAAGCGUGGGUAUCAAACAGGAUUAGAUACCCGAGUAGUC
RNAcentral lists this ribosomal RNA (460 nucleotides) under uncultured bacterium. Its description in RNAcentral is "partial 16S ribosomal RNA". It matches the Rfam family "Bacterial small subunit ribosomal RNA", at positions 338 to 795 of the family's 1533-position model. The record is from RNAcentral.